Molecule: ribosomal RNA, 243 nt
Filed under: Vibrio cholerae
Lineage: Bacteria; Pseudomonadati; Pseudomonadota; Gammaproteobacteria; Vibrionales; Vibrionaceae
Description: partial 16S ribosomal RNA
Rfam family: Bacterial small subunit ribosomal RNA
Source: RNAcentral
GGAAGGUGGGGACGACGUCAAGUCAUCAUGGCCCUUACGAGUAGGGCUACACACGUGCUACAAUGGCGUAUACAGAGGGCAGCGAUACCGCGAGGUGGAGCGAAUCUCACAAAGUACGUCGUAGUCCGGAUUGGAGUCUGCAACUCGACUCCAUGAAGUCGGAAUCGCUAGUAAUCGCAAAUCAGAAUGUUGCGGUGAAUACGUUCCCGGGCCUUGUACACACCGCCCGUCACACCAUGGGAG